AACAGAGGGGGCAAGCAUUAUCUUUGAUCACUGGGCAUAAAGGAAGCGUAGGCGGACAAUAUUCAGAAAGCUUGAUGGAAAUGUUUACAUAUUGAUGUAACUCUUAUCUUGCACUAAUUUUCUAUUGAGAUAUAAUGAGGUUAAUGGAAAGCAAUAUGGAAAUGGGCAAUCGUCUUUAAAUAUAUUGAGUAACACCAAAAAGCGAAGGCAAUUAACCAAUUAUAAUCUGACGCUGAGGCUUGAAGCUUAAGGUAGUAAAAGGG
This 263-nucleotide ribosomal RNA is filed under the name uncultured bacterium. RNAcentral's name for it is "partial 16S ribosomal RNA". It matches the Rfam family "Bacterial small subunit ribosomal RNA", at positions 524 to 776 of the family's 1533-position model. The record is from RNAcentral.